Molecule: ribosomal RNA, 496 nt
Filed under: uncultured bacterium
Lineage: Bacteria
Description: partial 16S ribosomal RNA
Rfam family: Bacterial small subunit ribosomal RNA
Source: RNAcentral
AUGAACGCUGGCGGCGUGCCUAAUACCUGCCAGUCGAGCGAACAGACGAGGAGCUUGCUCCUCUGACGUUAGCGGCGGACGGGUGAGUAACACGUGGAUAACCUACCUAUAAGACUGGGAUAACUUCGGGAAACCGGAGCUAAUACCGGAUAAUAUAUUGAACCGCAUGGUUCAAUAGUGAAAGACGGUUUUGCUGUCACUUAUAGAUGGAUCCGCGCCGCAUUAGCUAGUUGGUAAGGUAACGGCUUACCAAGGCGACGAUGCGUAGCCGACCUGAGAGGGUGAUCGGCCACACUGGAACUGAGACACGGUCCAGACUCCUACGGGAGGCAGCAGUAGGGAAUCUUCCGCAAUGGGCGAAAGCCUGCCGGAGCAACGCCGCGUGAGUGAUGAAGGUCUUCGGAUCGUAAAACUCUGUUAUUAGGGAAGAACAAAUGUGUAAGUAACUAUGCACGUCUUGACGGUACCUAAUCAGAAAGCCACGGCUAACUACGUG